Long non-coding RNA from Panonychus citri (citrus red mite), 919 nucleotides. RefSeq lists it as uncharacterized. The record is from RefSeq and is a predicted model, not a curated record. The transcript is spliced from 2 exons. NCBI's taxonomy places the organism in Eukaryota, Metazoa, Arthropoda, Arachnida, Trombidiformes, Tetranychidae.
CAAUCACAAUUAAGAGAAUUUCUUUUUCGCCCUCUACCGGUAACGUUAUCGAACUAAAGUAAUUAACACUUUUCGUUUUUGUAAACAUUUGAUUUUCUGUUUCUUUUUUGAUAAUUAAUUGAUUCUAAUUAAUUUGGAUCCUUCCUUUUUUUUUAUAAAUAUAUAUAUUUGUGUAUAUUCAACUGUUUUACUGUUUCAAUUGUCUAAUUGUUUUGAUCAACAAAGAACAAGAUUAAACCCAAAUAACAACAUCAACAACCAGAAUUGAGAUUCUGAUUGUUGUUCCUCUUGUAAUAUCUACAUGGUUAAUGAUUUAUAGCUUUAGGCUAUUAUCAUUAAUAUCCUUCUAGGUACAUGGGACAAAAGGAACCAAGUUUAAAACAAUAACACCAAAAUCCAAGGCCCAAUUGAUACAAAUUCACCAACACACCAAGACUGAAGGGAACACAAGCCAGAAAAGAAAAGAAUAUCAUCUUUUCAUCAUCAUCAUCAUCAUCAUAAUUCUAAUACCCUCAUUCCUUUUUAAUCAAAUCCCUAUUUCAAUUGUGUUCUAUUCCAUUUCUUAUCCAUAGAUUAUAUUCUGUUCCUUUAUCAUUAUUAUAUCAUUUUCCUACUUUUCCAAUAUUUCCAACAACAUUUCCACCUCCACUCUCUCAUAAUAACACUUCCUAUGGAUUAAAUGGUUAUUACAAUGGAUGAUUAUGAUUAUGAUGAUGAUGAUGAUGAAUGGCAAAUGAUGAGUUCAACAUCUGCCUCCCAACAUCAACACCAACACUGAACCUCUAAUCCAAAGGGUUUGUUUUUAACUCCAUAGAUUUGAGUUGUAUUAAUAUCCUUUCAUUAUUGUUAAUAAUUGAUUUAGUGUUUACAUUAUCGUAAAUAAUACCAACCAUGAGGAGUAAUAACACUUCACCCAAUA